GACGAACGCUGGCGGCGUGCCUAAUACAUGCAAGUCGAGCGGACCGGAUUGGGGCUUGCCUUGAUUCGGUCAGCGGCGGACGGGUGAGUAACACGUGGGCAACCUGCCCGCAAGACCGGGAUAACUCCGGGAAACCGGAGCUAAUACCGGAUAACACCGAAGACCGCAUGGUCUUCGGUUGAAAGGCGGCCUUUGUGCUGUCACUUGCGGAUGGGCCCGGGGCGCAUUAGCUACUUGGUGAGGUGACGGCCCACCAAGGCGACGAUGCGUAGCCGGGCUGGGGGGGAGAACCGCCAAACUGGGAAUGGGACCAGGCCCAGACCCCUACGGGAGGGAGCAGUAGGGAAUCUUCCGACAUGGGGGGAAGGCUGACGGAGCGACGCCGCGUGAGGGAAGGAGGGCUUCGGGUCGGAAAGCUCUGUUGUGAGGGACGAAGGAGCGUCGUGCGAAGAGGGCGGCGCGGUGACGGUACCUAACGAGAAAGCCCCGGCUAACUACGUG
RNAcentral lists this ribosomal RNA (501 nucleotides) under uncultured bacterium. RNAcentral's name for it is "partial 16S ribosomal RNA". It matches the Rfam family "Bacterial small subunit ribosomal RNA", at positions 28 to 507 of the family's 1533-position model. The record is from RNAcentral.